This 492-nucleotide ribosomal RNA is filed under the name Desulfovibrio sp. LVS-26. RNAcentral's name for it is "bacterial SSU rRNA". It matches the Rfam family "Bacterial small subunit ribosomal RNA", at positions 1 to 478 of the family's 1533-position model. The record is from RNAcentral. Lineage: Bacteria; Pseudomonadati; Thermodesulfobacteriota; Desulfovibrionia; Desulfovibrionales; Desulfovibrionaceae.
UUAGAGUUUUAUUCCCUGCUCCAGAUUGAACGCUGGCGGCGUGCUUAACACAUGCAAGUCGUGCGCGAAAGGGGACUUCGGUCCCUGAGUAGAGCGGCGCACGGGUGAGUAACGCGUGGAUUAUCUACCCAUACGUUCGGGAUAACGGCGGGAAACUGCCGCUAAUACCGGAUACGCUCCAAUUUCGGUUGGGGGAAAGGCGGCCUCUGCUUGCAAGCUGUCGCAUCUGGAUGAGUCCGCGUCCCAUUAGCUUGUUGGUGGGGUAAUGGCCUACCAAGGCUACGAUGGGUAGCUGGUCUGAGAGGAUGAUCAGCCACACUGGAACUGAAACACGGUCCAGACUCCUACGGGAGGCAGCAGUGGGGAAUAUUGCGCAAUGGGGGAAACCCUGACGCAGCGACGCCGUGUGAGGGAAGAAGGCUUUCGGGUCGUAAACCUCUGUCAGAAAGGAAGAACCUCCCAAGUCCCGAAUAGGGCUUGGACUGACGGCAC